RNAcentral lists this ribosomal RNA (305 nucleotides) under uncultured bacterium. RNAcentral's name for it is "bacterial SSU rRNA". It matches the Rfam family "Bacterial small subunit ribosomal RNA", at positions 335 to 656 of the family's 1533-position model. The record is from RNAcentral.
AUCCUACGGGAGGCAGCAGUGGGGAAUAUUGCACAAUGGGGGGAACCCUGAUGCAGCGACGCCGCGUGAGUGAAGAAGUAUUUCGGUACGUAAAGCUCUAUCAGCAGGGAAGAAAAAAGGACGGUACCUGACUAAGAAGCCCCGGCUAACUACGUGCCAGCAGCCGCGGUAAUACGUAGGGGGCAAGCGUUAUCCGGAUUUACUGGGUGUAAAGGGAGCGUAGACGGCAGCGCAAGUCUGGAGUGAAAUGCCGGGGCCCAACCCCGGAACUGCUCUGGAAACUGUGAAGCUGGAGUGCAGGAGAG